RNAcentral lists this ribosomal RNA (893 nucleotides) under uncultured archaeon. RNAcentral describes it as "bacterial SSU rRNA". It matches the Rfam family "Archaeal small subunit ribosomal RNA", at positions 1 to 901 of the family's 1478-position model. The record is from RNAcentral.
UUCCGGUUGAUCCCGCCAGACCUGACUGCUAUCGGAUUGAUACUAAGCCAUGCGAGUCAUUGUAGCAAUACAAGGCAUACGGCUCAGUAACGCGUAGUCAACCUAACCUAUGGACGGGAAUAACCUCGGGAAACUGAGAAUAAUUCCCGAUAGAACAUUAUACCUGGAAUGGUUUAUGUUUCAAAUGAUUUAUCGCCGUAGGAUGGGACUGCGGCCUAUCAGUUUGUUGGUGAGGUAAUGGCCCACCAAGACUAUUACAGGUACGGGCUCUGAGAGGAGUAGCCCGGAGAUGGGUACUGAGACACGGACCCAGGCCCUAUGGGGCGCAGCAGGCGAGAAAACUUUGCAAUGUGCGAAAGCACGACAAGGUUAAUCCGAGUGAUUUGUGCUAAACGAAUCUUUUGUUAGUCCUAGAAACACUAACGAAUAAGGGGUGGGCAAGUUCUGGUGUCAGCCGCCGCGGUAAAACCAGCACCUCAAGUGGUCAGGAUGAUUAUUGGGCCUAAAGCAUCCGUAGCCGGCUCUGUAAGUUUUCGGUUAAAUCUGUACGCUCAACGUACAGGCUGCCGGGAAUACUGCAAAGCUAGGGAGUGGGAGAAGUAGACGGUACUCGGUAGGAAGUGGUAAAAUGCUUUGAUCUAUCGAUGACCACCUGUGGCGAAGGCGGUCUACUAGAACACGUCCGACGGUGAGGGAUGAAAGCUGGGGGAGCAAACCGGAUUAGAUACCCGGGUAGUCCCAGCUGUAAACUAUGCAAACUCAGUGAUGCAUUGGCUUGUGGCCAAUGCAGUGCUGCAGGGAAGCCGUUAAGUUUGCCGCCUGGGAAGUACGUACGCAAGUAUGAAACUUAAAGGAAUUGGCGGGGGAGCACCACAAGGGGUGAAGCCUGCGGU